CUUCAAGAAGCAUUUAGAGUAAAUUUGUUCUCUGGAGUCUGGUCAUUUGUACUGUCUUUGUUACAAUGGCUACAAUGUGUCACACUGAAGGUAGGUAUUGAUGGGAAUAUAAUAAGUUUUUUAAAAGAACUGCCAUAGACGUUAAAGAGGGAGAGCCUCGAGACAAAUGAGAUAAGGACAAAAAGUCACUGCAGAGACUUCAUAGGAAAGGAAAAAGAAUCCUAAAGUGUUCUGGAUAGAUUUGCCUUGCCGUAGAAAUGCAGAGAAGUAGGUUAAGGAUGAGUGUUUGAAGGGGCCUUUUUGCAGACACAGAUGUAAGCAAAUCAAACUCUAUUAGAAGGAGAUAGGGAGUGAAGUUACCCCUAACACAGGAAACUGGGAGGAAGCUUAGCUUAGCCCUUGGUGAAACACACACUCUCAUCUCUGAUUAAAAAACUCGUGGGUUCAGGUUGGAAAAUGCUUUAUUAAAGUAGUAAUUUAAAGAUCAUUGCCAUCAGGGAAAGCUCAUUUUGUGCCCCUUGCUUUAGGGCAGCAAAAUGAUUGUAUUACCAGUACACAGCCAUUGAAGAAUUUCUGACUCAGUAUUCCUGAGGACCUGACAUCUUUUGGUGCUUUCAUUUUUGUUGCCUCUUUUAUGAACCUAUUGCCCUACAGACAGGAGGCAGAAGAAAUUGUGUGAAUUUGCCAAAAGGAUGGAAAUCUGGCUAGGAUGUUACAGCAGGUGUGAUAUAUUGCUCAUAACUGCAGUAUGUAACACCCACUUUGUAGCCAGGACAAAAUAAUUACUCAAGCAAUCAACAUGGACAGAUCUGUAAAUAGCCCAUUCUGUCUCUUAGUAAAAGGAAGGGGGAUGAUAAGAAAAAUUGGUGGGUGUUAUGCUGAGAAAGGCCUAUGCAAGGAAAGACAGGAGAGAGAGAGAAAACGAAAUACCAAAGUGCUGAAUUGCUGGAGGAAAUGACUUUGCUGGAAAGAUGAAAUCUGAAAACUAACCACCUUGCCACUUGUGAGUGUAGAAAAUAAAACCUGUUAUUUGCGAACCUCUCA
Molecule: long non-coding RNA, 1044 nt
Filed under: Anser cygnoides (Swan goose)
Lineage: Eukaryota; Metazoa; Chordata; Aves; Anseriformes; Anatidae
Description: lncRNA (ENSACDG00005003269.1)
Source: RNAcentral